UACGGGAAGGCAGCAGUGGGGAAUAUUGCACAAUGGGCGCAAGCCUGAUGCAGCCCAUGCCGCGUGUAUGAAGAAGGGCCUUCGGGUUGUAAAGUACUUUCAGUCGUGAGGAAGGUGUUAAGGUUAAUAACCUUAGCAAUUGACGUUAGCGACAGAAGAAGCACCGGCUAACUCCGUGCCAGCAGCCGCGGUAAUACGGAGGGUGCGAGCGUUAAUCGGAAUUACUGGGCGUAAAGGGCACGCAGGCGGUUAAUUAAGUUGGAUGUGAAAUCCCCGGGCUUAACCUGGGAAUGGCAUUCAAGACUGGUUAGCUAGAGUCUUGUAGAGGGGGUAGAAUUCCAUGUGUAGCGGUGAAAUGCGUAGAGAUGUGGAGGAAAUACCGGUGGCGAAGGCGGCCCCGUGGACAAAAGGACUGGACGCUCAUGUGCGAAAGCGUGGGGAGCAAACAGGAUUAGAUACC
RNAcentral lists this ribosomal RNA (460 nucleotides) under uncultured bacterium. RNAcentral describes it as "bacterial SSU rRNA". It matches the Rfam family "Bacterial small subunit ribosomal RNA", at positions 340 to 786 of the family's 1533-position model. The record is from RNAcentral.